CCUACGGGGGGCAGCAGUGAGGAAUAUUGGUCAAUGGGAGAGAUCCUGAACCAGCCAAGCCGCGUGAGGGAAUAAGGCCCUACGGGUCGUAAACCUCUUUUGCCGGGGAGCAAGGGCCGGGACGAGUCCCGGUCCGGAGAGUACCCGGAGAAAAAGCAUCGGCUAACUCCGUGCCAGCAGCCGCGGUAAUACGGAGGAUGCGAGCGUUAUCCGGAUUUAUUGGGUUUAAAGGGUGCGUAGGCGGGCUUUUAAGUCAGCGGUAAAAAUUAGGGGCUCAACCCCGUCCGGCCGUUGAAACUGGGGGG
This 305-nucleotide ribosomal RNA is filed under the name uncultured bacterium. RNAcentral's name for it is "bacterial SSU rRNA". It matches the Rfam family "Bacterial small subunit ribosomal RNA", at positions 338 to 640 of the family's 1533-position model. The record is from RNAcentral.